This 73-nucleotide transfer RNA is filed under the name Microrhizoidea pickettheapsiorum. RNAcentral's name for it is "tRNA-Val". It matches the Rfam family "tRNA". From Rfam's summary of the family: Transfer RNA (tRNA) molecules are approximately 80 nucleotides in length. Their secondary structure includes four short double-helical elements and three loops (D, anti-codon, and T loops). Lineage: Eukaryota; Viridiplantae; Chlorophyta; Mamiellophyceae; Dolichomastigales. The record is from RNAcentral.
GGGGCUAUAGCUCAGUUGGUAGAGCGCUUCGUUUACACCGAAGAUGUCAGCGGUUCGAGCCCGUUUAGCCCCA